Long non-coding RNA from Cucurbita moschata (crookneck pumpkin), 1421 nucleotides. RefSeq lists it as uncharacterized. The transcript has 2 exons. NCBI's taxonomy places the organism in Eukaryota, Viridiplantae, Streptophyta, Magnoliopsida, Cucurbitales, Cucurbitaceae. The record is from RefSeq and is a predicted model, not a curated record.
GCUUUUCCCUGUUUUUUUCAAGUGUUCUAUGAUGAUAAGCAUUUAUCAUUUCAUAUCUUCUACCAUUGAGAAAUAUAUUUGUGCAUCACAAUCUUCAUCAACUUAGACAUCUAAAACUCGUUCUUAUACUCGUUCUUCAUUAGGCGUCAUAGUUUCUAUAUUCUCGAACUAUCAACUAGCUAACCGAAGGUCCUUCUACAGAACUUGUAGUGAUGGAGGAAGCCUCAUCUAGAUAGCUUCGGUUAGACGUUUGGUUUGAAUGGUAAAGUUGACAAGAUCUUUAGAUCAACAUGUAUGGAAAAUGACAAAAUUGAUAGGUUUGAUUUGGUCAUCUACGUGGGGUUAUUAUCCAAUUGAGUGUUUGAAUUUUUUUCAACUACUCUCCACUUGUCUAUAAAUUGUCGUUUAAAAUAUAAUGUUUUGUGCGGCUCUUUAUAUAAAGCUCAUACGCCAUUGUUUUUGGUUUUCCCGAAAAGUCUCGUACCAAUGGAGACAGUGUCCAUUACUUAUAUACUUAUGAUCGGACCCUUAGUUAGCCCAUUAGGGAGAUUCCUAUGAAGCAUGGACAUGAAAUACAGAAAAUAUUGUGUAUUUUUUGAAAUCUAGGACAUAGAUAUCGAACGAAAAACAAUAUCUUCUAGGACAUAACUAAUAGAAUAUUCAUUUUUACACUAGAAAGAGCUUUAAAGUCAAUAGGUUUAAAUGCAUCAUUGAUGCGUUCUUUCUUGGUCGAAGCGUAAAGAUGUCUACAUUGUCUUCUGAUUCGGUGUCGUGUUGAAUGGUCUAGGAGUUUUAGCUGUUCAAGACAGAUUCAUUUCUGCUGUAGUUCUUCAUUUUAGCAUCAUAAACUUGCAUAUUUUUGAAUGUGAACUUUUUCAUUGAUAAAUUUGGAAGUCAGUGGAGGUUGGUUUCCGUGGUAGGAAAGGUGUUCCAAGAUGGUGGCUCGUAGAGUUGAAAAAUAUGUCCGUAGAUGGAAAGAAAUUGCUUCUUUGUUUCCCUUAAAAGCUAUCCUUUUGACUUAAAGCCAUAGAUGUUUCUCUAAGAACACUCAAUUUGAUUUCAACCAAAACCCAUAUAGAACGCCCAUUACAAUGCUCUACACAAGGUUGGUGGAUUGCAUUUUCAACUCACAUCUCCAUAUAGGAGGUGGUUUGCGAUAGUUUGUCAGUAGGGUCGACUUCGACGUUCAAGCUUUUCAACCAGAAUAGAGAGAGUUCGUAAUAUCGGGGUCGUGUUGGCGAGGCUGUGGAGCUGCCAUGAAAGAAUGGAUGUGAUCUUGGUUUAAAAGCACCCAAUGCUAUGUUUUGUACACUUAUCUUAUCUUCAUUUCUCUACAAACCAUUCGUUCAUGUCUCAAAUAGCUUUUCUUUUAGUGCUUUGAACUUCUUGGAGUAAAUUAGCAAAUAAUGGUUUUGGUAGCA